RNAcentral lists this ribosomal RNA (478 nucleotides) under uncultured bacterium. RNAcentral describes it as "partial 16S ribosomal RNA". It matches the Rfam family "Bacterial small subunit ribosomal RNA", at positions 28 to 523 of the family's 1533-position model. The record is from RNAcentral.
GACGAACGCUGGCGGCGUGCUUAACACAUGCAAGUCGAACGGUAAGGCCCUUCGGGGUACACGAGUGGCGAACGGGUGAGUAACACGUGGGUGAUCUGCCCUGCACUUCGGGAUAAGCCUGGGAAACUGGGUCUCAUACCGGAUAGGACCACUGCCCUCAUGGGUGGGGGUGGAAAGCCUUUGCGGUGUGGGAUGGGCCCGCGGCCUGUCAGAUUGGUGGUGGGGUGAUGGCCUACCAAGGCGACGACGGGUAGCCGGCCCGAGAGGGUGACCGGCCACACCGGGACUGAGAUACGACCCAGACUCCUACGGGAGGCAGCAGUGGGGAAUGUUGCACAAUGGGCGCAAGCCUGAUGCAGCGACGCCGCGUGAGGGAUGACGGCCUUCGGGUUGUAAACCUCUUUCAGCACCGACGAAGCGCAAGUGACGGUAGGUGCAGAAGAAGGACCGGCCAACUACGUGCCAGCCGCCGCCGUAA